This 64-nucleotide transfer RNA is filed under the name Illeis cincta. RNAcentral describes it as "tRNA-Asp". The record is from RNAcentral. Lineage: Eukaryota; Metazoa; Arthropoda; Insecta; Coleoptera; Coccinellidae.
AAAAAUUUAGUUAAAUUAUAACGUUAGUUUGUCAAACUAAAAUUAUUUUAAAAAAUAAUUUUUA